CUUUAUCUUGGUUCGGGCAAGAGAAGGCCCUACUUCUAGCACAGGGGGAUGAGACUUAUAUUACUUGCACCUAAGUGCUUGCAGUAGUGAAUAUAAGCUGAGCAGGAGAGGGAAGGAUCCCAAGUCCCUGGGUUGAUUGAGGCAGGUGCCAAUAUCGUGGUGGCGGAGAAAACUGUGAAGUGAUCACCUUGCCUCCCUGAAGCCUUAGGCUGUCCUAUUUAUAGCCUCAAGGAGGGUUGCCUGGAGUACUGGAGUUGGCCGUGUACGGUGAGGAGGUGUUGUCGUGCCCCUGUAGAUGGUAUGGCCCGGAGCAUGGUCUUGUACUUUCUAUUUGACUUGUGCCCGCUUGAUUUCUGCUGAGAGCCGAGGGCUCAGUCACAUACCCGAGCCCCCCUGACAAGAGGGUUGCACAUGCCGUAGUGGUUGACACAGUAAUGAGUAUGGCAAAACGCUCCUAAGUAAUACGUCAACUCUGAAGUAUAUGGUAACGUUGGGUGCCUUUCCGUUGCGGAUAUCGAGGUUAGGACUAGGCUCGGGUGAGGCGGAAGUCCGCUCGAGGCGACCGAGCCCGUUCCAGGAUUCGAAGACGUGUGCGCCAUAGUUGAAGGAGUGGCCUCCUGCAGGAUUCGCGAGGAGCAGGUAGCCAAGGCCGAGCUCGGGCGAGGUGGAGUUUGUCCCGAGGCCAAGGUCGACUUUGGGAGGGCAGAGUUUGUGCCCGAGGGCUAGCCUGACUUCUUGUCGUAUUGUACGUCCCAUCGGGGUUGGCAGACGGCGUGCGGGAACAGUGGUUGCAUGCGUCAUCGUAGUUGUUGAAGCUUGACAGGACCGCAGUCUUAUUGCUCCUAUUCACAUGGAACUCUGUGUGGGGCAGGUAUGCGCAUUGAAUGCUCCUGUCCCCUGCAGACUUUGGGUGAGUUUUGUCUUGGGGUUGUCUUUCUUACCCGAGAUGGGCUCGGACGAGGCGGAGACUGGCGUUUUGGGGAAAGGGGACCUCAGCCGGGACGAGGAUUCUUCUGAGAACACACCCUGUCUGUGGGCAGGCUCAAGCGACGCGGAGUUAUGGUAUCCUCUAAGAGGGGCCUCGGGCAAAGCACGACUUAUUAUCCUUCGUUAUCGGGGAAUGUGCCUUGAUGGUGGUUUAGGGGUUAAGCGUUUUUAGGGGCGUAAUCUAGGUACCCCUAAUUACUAUACCCGACAGUAGUGUUAAGGUGAACACCCUCUUAACACCCGGGUGUUACAGUUACUGUGUCAAUCACCCGUUAGAAUGGCUACCUGCUAUAGCAGUCUGACAAAGGUCCAAUGGUGCACUAGACCAGUACUGUUGGAGGUCUAGUGUGCCACCUGACAAAGCAAUUUUUUCUUAAGAAUUAAUGUUACGAUUUUGUGUUGUAGAUUGAUAUUUUUUGUAAUUGUCGACACUAUUGUUAGUUCCUUGGGUAUGUGAGUUGUAACGCUUUCAGGCCAGGCCGGGCCAGGUGUAACACCCUGAAUUUGGGGUGUAAAAUUUCUUUUUCUAAAAUCCACCAAAUUCAGGUGUUACCCUCUUUCUUUCCUUCUUUCUACUCUUUUUCCAAAUAGUGGAGAGUUAUUUUGUUUUAUAUAUGUAAGCCUAGUAAAAUAAAACCCUAGGGGUGCUUUGAUUGUUGCAUCAUGUCAGAGCAUAUAUUAUUUUGUUUGUGGAGUGCAUUUCCUUUUUGUUUAACGUAUUGUCUUGGUGUGUAUCCAUUUAUUUUUUGUAGCUCUUUCUUGUGUAUAAAUAUGAAUAGGAAUAAAAGAAAAGAAUAAAAAGGGAGAAAAUAGAAAAAGGUCUUUGCUUCCCCAAUCUUCUUAGCCGGCCCAGCCUCCCUCCCCGCGGCCCAGCCAUUCUCCCUCCCCCCUUCACCUCUCACGCACGGCCCACACGCCUUUCCCACCCUCGCCAGCGCGCCAGGCGGCCCACUCGCUCGGCCCAGCGCGCCCCAGCCCACUCCCCUGCGCGCGCCCAAUCGCCCAGACCCAGCAGCAGCGCGCGCUUUCUUCGCGGCCCAGCUCCUCCCCCCUCGCCCUGGCCCACGUCCCGCGCCCUGGCCCAGUCGGCUGUGGCCGGCUCGCUCAGCCCCAGCGGCCGCGCGUGGGCAAUGCCCAGCCGCCGCCGCACCUGACCGCGUCUCUGGCCUGGACACUGCUCUUGCUCUGCAUGCUAGGCCCACCUAUCAUAUGUUUCCUCUCCAAAUAAACUGACUCCACCUGAUCCGGCUCCUGCUCGUUCGUGCGCGCACAGGAAACGGAAACCGCCUCCAAGACCUCGCCCAACGCGCUCCUCUCGCCCAGCUCCGGCCACCCGCGCAGUGCGUCUACCCUUGCCUCAUCCUGCCCCAGCCCCAGGUCCCGGUGUCCUGGCGUCCAGCCGGCGUGGCCCGCGGCGAGCAGCCAGCGUGGCCAGCGCGGCGCGGCCCGUGCAGUGCAGCCAGCGUGGCUCGCCUGCGCGGCGGCCCGGCGCGGCUCGCCAGCGCGGAUGCCUCGCCGACACUUCCCCGCGCGCGCCCGAUCGUUGCGUGGAGGAGCUGCGCAGCCUCGCCAUCAGCACGCCGACCAUGCUCCACCAUGCACGGACGUCGUCAUCAGGAGGAGAGACGCGACGAGCCUGCGUAGCACCUUCGCCGUGCGUCCGAGCCUCGCCAUCUUCGAGCUCGUCGACGCCUUCGCCCUCUCGCCAUCGAGGAGGGAGCCACACCACGUUCACCUUAUGGUAGUUUGUCGCGGAGGUGAGAUCUCUACCCCUCUCUACCCCUGCAUGCAUCCGCGCCACGCGUCCGGUUCACAAUUUAUUCACGUGAUGUUCGCGCGCGUUGUCGCGCGUCGUUGGUACGUGUGGCGCAUGCUGUUUCAUACGUUGUGACGCGCGUUAUUAAAUUGUUACGCGCGUGUCGCGUGCUCUAUUAUUCGUGUAUCACGUGUCCCAUCCGCACAACGUUCGUGCGUGCUAUGCACGUGUCGUCGUUCGUGCGAGUUAUGAUUUACGCACUUUAAUAGAAUCACUUCGCCAUACCGUUCAUGUUAAAUACUUGAUUAAUUUCUUAGUUUUUGAUUAUUAAAAUAACAAUUCAAUCGAAUCUAAUUAAUGAUUUUAAGUGAUUGUGACGUAUGUUUUAUUUAUCUACUUCAUUGUUAGUUUUGCCGUUGGUUAUUAAUGUAGCAAUUUAGUUAAAACUAAUUUAAGGUUUUAAGUAGCGCUUUUAUAAAUAUACGUUAAAAUCAUUAAUACCAACUCAAAUAAGUACUAACUUAAUUAAUACCAACUUAAACGUUUGGAUUCGAUACUUGUUUAGUAUAAAUAUGUCAUAUAUUUAGUUUUUCUCGCUUGUCGCGCGUGCGGUUCCGCACUCUGUGGCGUGAUGUUUCAUGCGCCGUUCUCUCUAGUCGCGCGUACUGUCUCGUGCGUUGUUUUGCGCGUUGUUCGCCGCACUAAGUCACUUGUGUCCGCGUGUCGCGCACGUUGUUUUUGCACGUCGUGCACCUUAUCGCGCGUUAUUAAUUUGCCUUGCUUAUAAUCACUCAUAUUAAUUAAAUUACUUGAUUAACCAUCAACUAUUAAAAUAGUAAGUCAGCUAAAACUAAGUAGUAGUAUUAAUUUACAUUUGAUAGAGGUCAAUUAAUAUAAUAAUGUCGAAUAAUGCGAGUAUGUCGACUUAAAUAUUAUAAUUAAUACUUAUUUAGUGUAAAUACGAUAACUUCUCGACCGUAGCUUCGACUAUCGCGUUUCUUUUCCUCGCAUAACCGUAGAAGCGCUCUCUAUUUUACAUUGCUUGCUUUUAUUAUGUUUUACUUGAAUGGUGUAAUGUUCUUAUGCAUAUAUAUGUUUGUUUGCUUGUGUCUGUUUGUCUUCGCUUCGCAUUGCGAUUAGAUCGCAAUUCGUUUCCGAGCUUCGAGAAAUCGACGGUCAAGCUUCGACGACAAAGAGAUCAAACUCUUCGAGUUCUAUGAGGCUAAAGACCCUGAGCAUCUAUUUGGUGAAGGCAAGUGUCCCUUGACCCAUCUAUGUCCUACUCAUUUUAUAAUUCACUCCCCUCAUUUACACAGUUUAUACCUAAGGAUUGACUAACUUUUGUUUAUCUUGUCCUUGUUUACCUAUUUUGGUUGGGUUAUUUUGGUUUAGCCAUAUGCUAGUGCUUCACAUUAAUCAAUGAACAUGAUGAGAUUAUCUAUGAUACGUUGUUUUCCCUUUUGAUUAUGAUGAUGGUACUGUGACAUUUAAGGGGACUCGAGCUGUUUCUCGAGUGCCUCUCCGUAAGGACUGGUUCGUUGGAUGACCGCCCGGGAAAACAGUGCAACCAUGAGGGUGGAAUGGGACGCCCUUAGCUGAAUAAUUAGAGGAACUGGGGUGUAGUUCGCUUCGCCGUCGUGCCGUUAAUGGGGCUCGGUGUAUGCGGCUCGCUCUGCCAAGGUUGGUUCACCCCUUGGGGAGGAGUGCGGUGCAUUUAGAAAACCUAACGGGCGGCUAAAGCCUCAGGGAAUUUUUGUAAAGGCUUCAUAGUGAAUCCCUGGCCAUUCACCUCGGGAGUGAAUAAGGGUCUUGCAAGCCCGGGCUAGAGAGGGAAUCACGGCUUGUGGGUAAAGUGCGCAACCUCUGCAGAGUGUUAUGAAACUGAUAUAUCAGCCGUGCUCGCAGUUAUGAGCGGCCAAGGGAGCUCCAUUGAUUAGAGAUACUUUGAUCAGAGAUGGUUGGUUUACAGGUGGUGAUGAGGACGAUGGUUUUUUAUUAUGAUUAUGGUAAUGGUAAGUGGUAUUCUUUCCGUUUGGAAAGGGUACUUUGGGUGAAGAACUUCGGUUAAUGCUAAAACCUGGCUUUCUACUAGUAAUAAUAACCUGAUCAACUAAAAGCAACUGCUUGACUUAACCCCACAUAAAGCUAGUCCACUAUAGCCAAACGGGACAUUUGUUGAGUAUGUUGAUGUGUACUCACCCUUGCUUUCACAAAACACCAGGUUGCCUUUGGUGCAAUCUAUGCUCAGGUAAAGAAGAAGAAGAGGGUGUCGAGGCGGAUCUCCAGGAGUUCCAGGACUUCGACGAGUUCGAGGAUUAGGCUAGCGACCUCCCCCAGUCAGCUGCCUGUGGUGGGUUGUUUACGUUGGCUACGUUUCGAUUCUAUGUACUUUGAUUUAUAUUAUGUAAAUGGCUCUAGUCUGUAAUAUUAUUACUUACUCUUUAUUGUAAUUCGAAGCAUUGUGCUAUGAUGAGUCAUUUAUGUAAUCGCUGUGUACGUGAAUUACUGAUCCUGGCACGUACAUGGUUCGCAUUCGGUUUACCUUCUAAAACCCGGGUGUGACAUAAGUGGUAUCAAAGUCGUGCUGACUGUAGGACCGCUGACCUAUAGUAGCAUUGGCCAUUUUAAGGACUUCUUGACUGUUACUUCACCUCAUCCUUGAUUCUGCUUCAAAAUUUUAGUCAUCUCGACUAAUUCUAUGUUGUGAUCCUAUAUGCCCCCUUGUCAAAAAGUAUUUUAUUCUAGUAUGGUCUAUACUUCUCUCAGUCUAUUAGAACUUAUCUCACUCUUGUGCUUGCGACAUCUUUAUAGAUGCCCCUUAACCAUAGCCUUUAGUCUUUUGGGACUCUUUCCUCGUCCAUUAUUAAAUUGCUACCAUUUGACCAUCUCUAUUCCAUUUUGUUAUUAACAUGCUCGUAUCCUUGCAUUUUUCAUACCCUUAUCCCUUAAUCUAAAGUACUUAGCCUUGUACCUCUAUUGCCUAUUUAAAUAGUUCAGUUUAUGUGUCCAUGACCUUCUUGUCUUCUGAGAUCCUUUCUUAUUUUGUUGUUAGGUCGUUAUCUUUCGGCAAUUUCUAUGCCCUUGGUCUUAGUAUGCUCGUAUCCUUGGAAUCUUGCAUACCCUUAUACUCUUAUGUAUGAUUAUUUUCAUACCCCAAUGUCUGUUUAAGACAUUUCAGUUAACAUGCCCUUGACCACCCUUGUUUCUUAAUGAUCCAUGAGCGGUCAUUUUUAUUUGCAUAUCCUUGGUAAUCUCGUUGUCUCCUUGUGACUCCACUUGGUAAUUAAUUUUCUUUACUUCAACCAUUCUGUUGCAACCUUACCUAUCUUACCGUUGAUUGUUUUUCCCACUUCGCCACCUAGUGAGUCUUGCCAAAACUCUAUCCUUAUGCUUUUCAUUAUUAUCACCUUUACCUUUGACACCUCUAUAUCUUACAUUGAUGUUUAUCUUAUACCUGCCCUUUAAAUUCUCCUCUUUUCCAUCUCAAUCUGGGAGUUAUACUUUACCUAUUUUCCCUUGGUCGUAUCCUCCUCUUUGUCGCUUGUGAGUUCUCAACUCCAUCCUUUGUUGUGCUUCUAUUUAGUGUUGCCUUUACCUUUCCCAUCUCUCGACCAUACCUUGGUGAUUACAUUAUGUCUGUUAUCUAAAAUCUCCAAUCUCUUAUCCUAAUUUGAGAGUGGUGUUUUACUUAUCUCACCCUUGGCAAUAUCCUCUUCUUCACCGCGUGUGAGCCUUGACAUAACUCCAUUCUUUGUUGCACUUAUACCACUAGCUCUUCAAUGCCUUCGUUUUUCCCUCAUACCCUUGUCUGUUAUCGCCUCUAACCCUUGUGAUAUUUAUGUCUUCUACCUAACUGCUUACCUUGAACUUAUCCUUUAAAAGCCUCCCCUUUCCUUCAACCCAGUUUGAGGUUGUGAGUUACCUAUCUCUCCCUUGAUUUCUUUUCACUCCUUGUUGCCUUACAGGUUUUGUCUUAAUUCCAUCCUUUGUUGUGUGUUUUAUUUGCUAUCACCAUCUCCUUGUCAUCCAUCGAUCUUGCCUUGAUACUCAUCUUUAUUUUGGCUCUUUAAAAAUCUCCUCUCUUCCACCUCAAUUGGAGAGUGACAAUUUACUUAUAUGGCCCUUGGACAUACCCUGUCCUUUUCCAUUUACAGGUCCUAUCUUAACUCCAUCCUUUAUGGUACUUAUAUCCUUUGUUUUAUGCCUAUUUACCUCAUCUCCUACAUCCUUGUCCAUUAUUACUUUUAAAACCCUUGUGAUAUCUAUGCCCUUGCCUUCCUGCUUACCUUGAACCUACCCUUUGAAGCCCCUCUUUUCCAUUCCUGUUUGGGGAUAAUGCCUCAUCUAUUUCAUCAUUGAUUGCUCCCCCUUCUUUGAUGCCUUGCAGGUUUUGUCUAAAAUACAUCCUUGGUUGUGUUUGUCUGUUAUCACCUUAACCCUUGUCAUCCCUUGAUCUUUACCAUGAUGCUUAUCUUGCACCUUCAUUUUAAAGCCUCCUCUCCCAUUUCAUUUCAAGAGUGAUGUCUUACCUAUCCCGCUCUUGUUCGUUCCCUUUUUCCUCUGUUGCGUUGCAAGUCUUGUCCUAACUCUAUCUUUUGGUGUGUUUUUGCCUUUCACCUCCCUUACCUUUGUAAUCUCUAGAUCUUUCCAUGAUGUUAUCUUAUGCCUACCUUUUGAAAUAUCAUCUUUCCCAUCUCGAUUUGAGAAUGGUGUUUUACCUAUCUUGACCUUGGUUACAUUCUCUCCCCUAUCGGUUACAAUCCCUGCUUUAGCUCCAUCCUUUAUAGCGCUCAUGCCCCUAUUUUGUAUGUCUUGUUAUUCCCCUUGCCUUUCGAUGGCCUUAGAAUAGUUUCCCCUUGGUAAGGAAAGACCACCAUUUAAUUAAAAGUUACGUAUGGCAACGAGAUGUUUGUUGUUGUAUGCUCGUGCUAUUUGUCUUUGUGUUAUGACUGAUUUGCUUCUUUGUGAUGAGUGUUGAUAUGUUGUGGCCCUUGGUCCGCAAUGACAUCAGUUUACUAGCUGAGUGCCAUAGAGUUAGGUAGUUGGGUGCUCUCUCUUUUCUCUCUUUAAUCCAUCUAUGCUUACCUUUUCAAUAUGUACCCUUUCCUCUUGCACCUGUCUGGUUGGCAACCUCCAACCUCUCUUAAUUAGUCAAGAUCAGAGUUGGCAGCAUCUUCACCAAGUGCAUAUCAAUGCUCCUGUUAAGGGGGUUAGUCGCUAACCCUAAUGAAGACAAUGCGAUCAACAUCAACCAACAAGGUCAAAGUGGCGCAACAAAAGCAUGUGUGGGUCCUAACACAUAGGUCCAAGAGAUCCUCAAGAAUUGCAUCAAUCAGUCUCAAGCAUCUGAAGGUCAAAGAAGCCAGUCCCCAAGUUAAGCUUACAGAGUCAAAGUCAGCUCAAGAAAGUCGUGAACAACUAAUGAACCAAUCUCAUUUUCUUGCUAGCCUCUUCUUGAAUCUCGAGGGCGAGAUUCUGUUAAGGGGGUUAGGUUUGUAACACCCUGAAUUUGGGGUGUAAAAUUUCUUUUUAUAAUAUCCACCAAAUUCAGGUGUUACCCUCUUUCUUUCCUUCUUUUCUACUCUUUUUCCAAAUAGUGGAGAGUUAUUUUGUUUUAUAUAUGUAAGCCUAGUAAAAUAAAACUCUAGGGGUGCUUUGAUUGUUGCAUCAUGUCGGAGCAUAUAUUAUUUUGUUUGUGGAGUGCAUUUGCUUUCUGUUUAACGUAUUGUCUUGGUGUGUAUCCAUUUAUUUUUUGUAGCUCUUUCUUGUGUAUAAAUAUGAAUAGGAAUAAAAGAAAAGAAUAAAAAGGGAGAAAAUAGAAAAAGGGCUUUGCUUCCCCAAUCUUCUGAGCCGGCCCAGCCUCCCUCCCCGCGGCCCAGCCAUUCUC
This 8630-nucleotide long non-coding RNA is filed under the name Zea mays. RNAcentral describes it as "long non-coding RNA (ZMAY_LNC002434)". The record is from RNAcentral. Lineage: Eukaryota; Viridiplantae; Streptophyta; Magnoliopsida; Poales; Poaceae.